RNAcentral lists this ribosomal RNA (1293 nucleotides) under Escherichia coli. RNAcentral describes it as "partial 23S ribosomal RNA". It matches the Rfam family "Bacterial large subunit ribosomal RNA", at positions 612 to 1890 of the family's 2925-position model. Lineage: Bacteria; Pseudomonadati; Pseudomonadota; Gammaproteobacteria; Enterobacterales; Enterobacteriaceae. The record is from RNAcentral.
AUAAUGGGUCAGCGACUUAUAUUCUGUAGCAAGGUUAACCGAAUAGGGGAGCCGAAGGGAAACCGAGUCUUAACUGGGCGUUAAGUUGCAGGGUAUAGACCCGAAACCCGGUGAUCUAGCCAUGGGCAGGUUGAAGGUUGGGUAACACUAACUGGAGGACCGAACCGACUAAUGUUGAAAAAUUAGCGGAUGACUUGUGGCUGGGGGUGAAAGGCCAAUCAAACCGGGAGAUAGCUGGUUCUCCCCGAAAGCUAUUUAGGUAGCGCCUCGUGAAUUCAUCUCCGGGGGUAGAGCACUGUUUCGGCAAGGGGGUCAUCCCGACUUACCAACCCGAUGCAAACUGCGAAUACCGGAGAAUGUUAUCACGGGAGACACACGGCGGGUGCUAACGUCCGUCGUGAAGAGGGAAACAACCCAGACCGCCAGCUAAGGUCCCAAAGUCAUGGUUAAGUGGGAAACGAUGUGGGAAGGCCCAGACAGCCAGGAUGUUGGCUUAGAAGCAGCCAUCAUUUAAAGAAAGCGUAAUAGCUCACUGGUCGAGUCGGCCUGCGCGGAAGAUGUAACGGGGCUAAACCAUGCACCGAAGCUGCGGCAGCGACGCUGAUGCGUUGUUGGGUAGGGGAGCGUUCUGUAAGCCUGCGAAGGUGUGCUGUGAGGCAUGCUGGAGGUAUCAGAAGUGCGAAUGCUGACAUAAGUAACGAUAAAGCGGGUGAAAAGCCCGCUCGCCGGAAGACCAAGGGUUCCUGUCCAACGUUAAUCGGGGCAGGGUGAGUCGACCCCUAAGGCGAGGCCGAAAGGCGUAGUCGAUGGGAAACAGGUUAAUAUUCCUGUACUUGGUGUUACUGCGAAGGGGGGACGGAGAAGGCUAUGUUGGCCGGGCGACGGUUGUCCCGGUUUAAGCGUGUAGGCUGGUUUUCCAGGCAAAUCCGGAAAACUAAGGCUGAGGCGUGAUGACGAGGCACUACGGUGCUGAAGCAACAAAUGCCCUGCUUCCAGGAAAAGCCUCUAAGCAUCAGGUAACAUCAAAUCGUACCCCAAACCGACACAGGUGGUCAGGUAGAGAAUACCAAGGCGCUUGAGAGAACUCGGGUGAAGGAACUAGGCAAAAUGGUGCCGUAACUUCGGGAGAAGGCACGCUGAUAUGUAGGUGAAGCGACUUGCUCGUGGAGCUGAAAUCAGUCGAAGAUACCAGCUGGCUGCAACUGUUUAUUAAAAACACAGCACUGUGCAAACACGAAAGUGGACGUAUACGGUGUGACGCCUGCCCGGUGCCGGAAGGUUAAUUGAUGGGGU